Molecule: non-coding RNA, 45 nt
Filed under: Schistosoma margrebowiei
Lineage: Eukaryota; Metazoa; Platyhelminthes; Trematoda; Strigeidida; Schistosomatidae
Source: RNAcentral
AUCCAACUGACGAGUCUCAAGUGGGAUGAAACGUGCGUACUGGAU